GGGUAGAGUGCCCUGUGCUCUACAGCAGGUCCUGUUGGCCACCCAUCCCAUAUACCACAGUGUGCAUAUGCCAGUCCCAAACCCCCAGUCCAUCCCUCCCCAAAACCUGUCCCCUUUGAUAACCGGGGGUUGGUUUUCAACGUUUGUGAGUUGGUGUCUGUUUGGCAAAUAAGUUCAUUUGCAUUGUUUUUCUUUUAGAUUCCAUUUAUAAGUGAUAUCAUAUGAUGUUUGUCUUUGGAGAUGACAAGGGAGGUUUUCUUGGAGAAUCCAAUUACAAUAGUUGGGAUUCUUGGUUGUAAAUACCUCCGAGGUAGCUUAAGGGAAAAGAAUUACAGGGAUAUAGAUCUUUCUUCUGGAGCUUCAAGGACAAAGGCAUAGUGCAGAUUUGGAAACCAGUCCUUCAUGAAAAUCUCUCCCCCGUCACUCACUGCAUCUUUGCUGUACUUCUCUGCUGGGCACCAAGAACCAUGUUUUUCGACCUCUUCCAUUCAAGAGAUCAGCCCAAACUACAUUCUUGGUCCCACAUCUCUAUUUCCAGGAAAGAGAUUGGUGCAGCCAAGAUAGAGUCUACCCUUGGUCCAAUCAGCUAUGGGAGGUGGGCUGGGUCCUACCCUAUGGUUUGGGUGGUUGAACAGUUUCCAGAGAAAGUUAGACAAGGCAUUCCCUAAGGUGUCCUCUGUACUCAAGAAACAGUAAACCUCUCCCCUUCUCCAUCCCAAUACAUCAAAUAAUUUAGCUUCUGUAGUUGUGGAUGGUGGACAUGGGAUGUUUCAUCCCCACCUAAGGAAGUGGCCUGGCCAUAAAGAGCCCUAUGUCCCCAUACCCUUCCACACUUUGUCAACUUCUAAGCAGCUGACCUAGCUCUUGCACAAACAUGUGAAAACCAUCCCAGCAUCUCCCAUUUCUGAGGAGAACAAAGCUUAUUCACGUGUAGAGGACAGAGUGGAUUGGCUUGAUGAUAAUCUAAACUAGUUAACAAAUUCCACAAUUUAGAUGGAACACAUUCCAAAAUGAACAAAAACAGUAAAACUGACACAAGAUGAAACAGAAGAUAUGAGCAGCUCUAUAGCAGUUAAAGAGAUUAAGUUCGUUACUACAAACCCUUUGACAAAGAACACUACACCCCAAAUAGUUGCACUGGUGAAUCCUAACAAUAUCUAGUUGAACCUACUUCCAGGGUAACUCUCUCUGCUGCAGUGGAUGAAAAGCUAGGCACACAUUUCGCAGACUCCUGGGCAGCUAGGGAUUUGAAUGUACUAUCAUCUGACCAAUCAGAUGCAUGUGUGCAAGACUUAAGUGUAGAACUGAGUGAGGUGGGGAGGGAGGCAGGACACAGGCUUUGCCCACGUGGGUCACAGCAGAUGCAGUGUGGUUCUGGAGCCAGCAAGCAGAGCAGCUAUUUCUCACUUCUGCAGGCAGCUUCCUCAUUGUGGUAGGGGAGAGAACUCACUUGGAGGCCCAGUUCUGCAGUGUGGCUUUGGGAGUCACUUCUGGAAGGUGAACCUGGGGUCGUUUCUUCACUCUUUCCAACAAUUCUGUAAGCCACCUACUACUCUGUGUAAACUCUGUUCUAUACAAAUUAACAAGAGUCAUUGUGACCAGUUCAUAAUCUUUUAGGUCCAGAUCCUGGAGCUGCCUCCUCCAGGAAGAACUCUUGGAUUACUGUUACAGUCCCCUCUCCUCUGAGCUCCUGCAGCCUUGUUCAUCUGGGCUUUUCAUCUGGCAUUUGCUAGCUGCCUGGCAGUGUAGGUUCGCUGAGAUGGUGCCCUCCCUGAGGGCAGGAACUACCACCCAUCCUGGUGCUAUAAGCACAUAGUAAAAGUUAGCAAGUAUGGACAAUUAUAAGGCAUUAUCAGGAGGCAUUCUGAUUGUGACUCAGCAGAUUAAGAACCCAACAUAGUGUCCGUAAGGAAGUGGUCUGAGCCCUGGCCUCACUCUGUGUGUUAAGGAUCUGGCGAAGGUAGCAGAUGCGGCUCAGAUCUGGUGUUGCCGUGGCUGUGGUGUGGGCUAGCAGCUGUAGUUCUGAUUCAACCCCUAGCCUGGGAAUUUCCAUGUGCCGCUGGUGCAGCCCUAAAAAGAAAGGAAAAAAGUUGUUAUCAGUUUACAUCCUAAAUGCAAGACACACCUAUUAUGGGCUUUUAUUAGCAGCCACCAAAGGGGACACACAUAUGCUGAGCCCGGGCCCCACAGGACAGUUAUUAGGGGUCAGUGUAGCUCUCUGCUGCCAGCUGCUGCAGAGCCCCAAUGUCCCAGAGAGAACCUGAAAUCAAGGAUGCUGACAACCUUGGGCUCCCAGAGAGGGUUUCAGCUCCUGUUCUUGAGGAAAUCACCAAGUUUUUUAGAUGGGGAAACUGAGGUCCAGGGAACAAGAAGUGACACAGCCAAAGUCAUAGACCCCAAAUCUCCAGCCCCCAGCCUGGUGCUCUUAUAUCUUUAAACACUGUCUCCCUGGAAACUCUGGGGUUUUUUUCCCCAAGAAUGGAAAUUCUUGCCAGAACAGUUACAAUGCCACCACAAGCCAAACAGAAAGUAAAAAGUGUUUUCCAGGGAUGGUGGCUGAGCAGUGACACCAAACUUUGGAACUUCUGGGGAAAUAUUAUUUCUUGACCUGGAUCUUGAAGCUAAAGAGAAAUUUUUGUGAAAUUCACUGAAUUGUGCCCUCAUUUGUGUUUGUUUUUCAACUAUGCUGUAUUUCAAUUCUAAAACAAAACAAAACAAAACAAAAAAGUUAAAAAAAAUAUGCUUCCCUAAGAUCUUCACGAAGGGGGGACACAGCCUGAGUGAUGGACGAGACGCUGAACUGAGGGGCAGGAACUUAGGUUCUAGACCAGCUCAUAGCCUCAGUGUCCACCGCCUUCUUUCUGAAAGAGGAAAUCGUACUUCUGCCAAAUCCCUAUGAUCAUGGAUGUGAGCGAAUUUGAAGAUGAUUGGGUCUGUGAGUUCUGUGCGUCCCAUGCCAGGGCUUGCAAUUCUGCUUUUGUGAAUUACUCUGGGCAAGCCGAGUGGGAGGGGCCGUGGCGCUGGUUCACAAAGGAAUGGGUGAUCCAGCCCCCCCAGAAGCAAAUUAGACCUGGGUCUGGCCCUGGCCUUCAAAGUCCUGUUUUGGGCCCCGGGGGUGGCAAAUCAAGACAAAAAUCAAACAAAUGUGAUUUCACAGGGGCAGCCAGUAGGGGGCGUGCUCUGUGGAUGCUGACUGCUGCACCCGGCUGGCUCAUGCACUGGCCUCAUUCUCCCUCCAGCUGCAGUGGGUGAUGCAGGACUUUGCUCCCCACCUCCUACCAGAAAGUGGGCCAGCCCCUGCCCCCUUCAUGACAGCUGCUUCUAGAAGGUGGGAGCCGGGGAACCUUUGCUCCAGGAUGUCAGGACCGGCGGGCGGCAGAGGAGAUGUCUCGGGCUCUCCAGGCCAGCAGGCCAGUGGCGGGGGCGGGGCAGGGGUUGUCUGAAGCCGAAUUAAAAGUCUCUAGCAGUUUAGGUCUUCAUCUCUCAUGGCACUGGUGCCUAUGAAAUUGUGAUAUAUGGUCCAGAUUAAGAGCUAAAAGAAACAUUAUGACUCUGGGGAGGGCGGGCACCUGCUGCUGCUGAGGCCGCAGGUGGGCUGAUGGUGUGGAGAGGUCCUUUCCAAAUCCAUGGGUUCUGCAGUUCCCCCCCCCCCAAGCAGCCCCCCUCUGGCUCUGUGCCUUUCAUCCUUCUCAACGUCUCCUAAUGACUCCUUUACUUACGUGUUGCAGCUGUCAUUUCUUGAAUGUCCUCACCGCUCUCCCAGCCUGCUCCCUCCUGCGGCUGCAGCACCCAGGACUCUGACCAGCAGGAGGUGGGACUCAAGGACUCCAGACCCAGCCCACAUGCGGGCCGGGCCAGGCCAGGGCAUCUGGAUGAUGCUGAAGAAUGAGAGGUAGUAGAUCAGCGCCCAUCAUCCUCCCCCCUUGGGUGAGAGACCACUUCCCAGAGUCCCCUUGGAGGGGACCCCAUGUCCACAGUCACCCGCCCCUCACUUUCUCAUGUGGCUUCUCUCCUCUUUCCUAUUUCGCUUCCCCAGGCCCCUGCCAGGGCUCCUGUCCCUCCUAAACACCGGGUUAGGGCUCGAUCCCUGGCCGCAGGGUCUCUAGCUCCUGCCAGGACCAACCUAAGACACUCAGGGUGCAUCCCCGUCGAUAGAACAUAAACUUGACAAGAGCCAGGGUCUCAGAUUCAGGGAUUCAGCCCCCACCCACAGAAUCGUGCCUGGCACAUCAGAGGCUCUGCAAAAAUAUUUGUUGAACAGAUUGUUUAUGCAUUGAAUGACAACUCCACAGAUCUUUGCGUGCCUACUCUGCCAAGCUCCGUGCCAGGCAUCUGGGACAUUCCGGGAACGAGAUAAGACGCAAGUCCUGCCCGCUGCUGCUCACAGUCUGGUGGGAGGAGAGAAACAGACAAUUGCUGUGGAUGGUCAUUACCGAGGCAGGGACACACAGAGGGCCCUGGGGCACAGAGGAGGCCCUGGGUAGCGACACCAGGGUGACAGCCUGGAACAGGGUGGGCUUCAAGGGCCUAAAAUGUGUACAGUCACGAGGGGCCCUAGCUUAGCAGGGCUGCAAACUUGGUUUAAGGCUUUGCUUUGUGUCUUGAAACUAUGUAUAUAUUUUAGGCCCACAGGUAUGACGUAUGAAAGUUCCCAGGCUAGGGGUCAAAUCGGAGCUGCAGCUGCCGGCCUAUGCCACAGCCACAGCAAUGCGGGAUGCAAGCUGCAUCUGCCACCUGUGCCGCAGCUUUGUGGCAAUGAUGGAUCUUUAACCCACUGAGUGAGGCCAGGGAUCGAACCCACAUCUUCAUGGAUACUAGUGGGGUUCUUAACCUGCUGAGCCACAGCGGGAACUCCAAAAUUCUUAAUACAUUGUUUUAAAUUUAUUUAUUUAUUUUUACUUUUUAUGGCCACACCCACAGCAUGUGGAUGUUCCCAGG
Molecule: long non-coding RNA, 4938 nt
Filed under: Sus scrofa (pig)
Lineage: Eukaryota; Metazoa; Chordata; Mammalia; Artiodactyla; Suidae
Description: lncRNA (ENSSSCG00050042170.1)
Source: RNAcentral